This 219-nucleotide unclassified non-coding RNA is filed under the name Hevea brasiliensis (rubber tree). The record is from RNAcentral. Lineage: Eukaryota; Viridiplantae; Streptophyta; Magnoliopsida; Malpighiales; Euphorbiaceae.
UGCUCCUCUAUAAUAGGAAAUGUGCUGCCCAAUUGUAUCUUCCAAAACAUAAUGGUUACAAAUACCCUUCAUCUACAAAAAAAAAAAAAAAAAAAAGGGAAAAAAUUUUAUAAAAUUAAAGGAAAAUAUCUAACCAAAAUAUCCAUAAAUGCCCUACCAUUUUCAGCUAAUAAUCCAGGGAAAUCUUAAUUCUUUCAAUAUCUCAUCAGCCCAGCUCCC